Molecule: RNA transcript, 6463 nt
Organism: Athalia rosae (coleseed sawfly)
Lineage: Eukaryota; Metazoa; Arthropoda; Insecta; Hymenoptera; Athaliidae
Exons: 8
Source: RefSeq, a predicted model, not a curated record
UCACUUUGCUCGUACGUUAGGGUGAUUGAAAAAUAAAUAAAUGAAUAAUAAUCAUAACGUAAAUGGAAAUACGUAGUUAUGGGUGCUUUGUUGGUGCAGGUGUGCGAGUAUAAAUUAUUGUACAUAAAGAUUGACGAUAUAAAGAAAAAUAAAUAUCGUUUCCUCAUUUCGCGCCUCGAUUAAUAAAAUCGAAUGAGGUAUGUAUUUAUAAUCUCGAUUCGUUCUCUGUACCAGCCUAUGCUUUAUCGGAGUAUUAAUACGGUGUAUAUGAGUUCGAUAUUUGCGCCGUAUAUCGUAGGUUUUUUUUUCUUCUUCGUAUACGUAAUACCGAGCAAGUAUAUUACGAUAUAAUAAUACGAGUAAUUUUACAACAGCGAAACUUGUAGGUACACAGAGACAGUGGAAAGGGACACGUGAAUGUACAUAUACGUCUUCGUUCUCUUUAUUCCGUAUUAGAAAAGAGACGACGAGCCUAAGUUAUAGUUUUUGCGAGUAUAAGAAAAAAAAGUAAUGGAAUUGCAAGCCGCGCGGAGCAUUUCUUUACCUUAAAUGGGAGGAACACGUGAAAGACGCGCGCUGUUGUAAAAGUGCCGUAAGGGAGGAGAAAAAAGAAACGGCGGUCUGGAGGAAAACCGAGUUACGAUCUCGCCAUCGUUCUCCAACUGAUAGCGAUUUAUUCCUACCUCGAAAUGGUACGGUGAAGUAACGAGUGGGCACCAGAGUCCGAAUCUAAAUUCUGAGCGACGCGUCGCUGGGUCUGUGUGGACCGUAGAGCGAAACAACGCUUUCAAUCAUUUUUCACUCCGUUCUCCUUCGAGUCCUCGAUCCUGCGAGAGACGGUGUGAAAGUCAGCACCUCGUAUACCUUCACGCUCAUAGACACCACGUUACACCUUUCAUUUUUCAGAGGCGAAAUAAUUUGUAAAAGAAAAAAAUAGAGAAAAAAAACGAGCUGGUUUCGUAGCGGACAAGUUUCGGUGUAAAUCGGUGGUGAGAUUAAAAUCCUGAGCUCGAGAGGGUUACUUGACUCCAAUUUUCCAGAUUCCUUGGAUCACGAUUUUCCUCAUUUCCCUCCUGAAAUCAUAGAGUUGGGAAUCAGGCGGAGCGUUGGCAUGGAAAAGUCGAAGAAAAAAGGGGAAGAAUCGAUCGAGUAUUGGGCUGAAUAAUAUUCAACGUCGGGACAGAGUGUGUGGUCAAGAUAAAGAGAGAAGUUGAGGUGCAUACUUAUAGGUACGAAAGUACCAAAGGAGAGCGAUGCCUGUAGAAUGAAGCAGAAACCGGUUCAAUUACAAUACGGGGCGCGCACGGGGACUGACUCAACGCCAUAUCGGACUGUGAGUACGUUACAAACAAACGCGACAAACAAACUGACUGCGAUAUAUGCGGAAAACCGCUUCCUUGUAUCGCCUCGAUGCAUCGUACGACUUAUAAUUGCGCGGGUAAAAAUGUCCCUAAAAAGGAUAAAUUUUACAUCGUUCUCCCGAACGAAAUUAUCGAAUUUCUUCGGACCCCCGAAAACCCUUCGAAGAAAAAACUUCUAACAACUUUGCAAAAACGUACAACGUCAAUUUUUUGGCAAAAUGAGAAAAAAAAAAAAUUUCUCAAAGAAACCGAUGCAAAAACAAGGUCCCUGCGGGCGGCGCGGGAGACAACUUCUGAAAGCCAUUGUUGUUGAUGAAAAUAAUAAAAAAAAAAAAAAGAAAAAACCCCAAAACCAAAAAAAACGAAACGGUAUAAUAAUAUAAAAGGUUGUAAGAACUGGUAAAAGGAUAUAGAUAUAUACCCGUAUACACAAAACUAUAUAUAUAUACAAAAAUAAUAUAAUAAGAAUAAGAGAAUAAAAUUGACAAAAAAAAAAGAAAAAAAAAAAAAAACAGGAGGAGAAAUUUGUGGAGGCGGCAGCGGUUGCCAGGGAGGAGGACGUUUGUUGGACGUAAAGGGUCCACCGCGAUGUUCUCCAGGACUGCGCGCGGCCAUUGUGCACUUUGGUUUGCGUCCGUCCGAACGCGAAGAGAGCCGAGAGAUCAAAUUUAUGCGUACGCCCUACGAAGGUCCAUUACGAACGCGCCUCUCUCGGUCCGCGUUUGUCCCCCAGGGAAUACUCGGUAUUUAUAAUACUUGGUAUACAUUCGAAAAACCCAGACGACUUCGAAGGUGAACAACCACGGCGUACGCGCGAUACAAAAGUAUGGCACAUACGCCGAUAUUCAAAUCGAGCGUAUCCCGCAUAUCGCGAAAAGAUCCGAACCGCGAGAUCCCGAUACCCAAUUCGAACCGAGCUGCGGCUUUUUUCUCGAACUUUUUCCACUGACGUACGAAAAAUCGAAUCUUGGUCGAAAAACCGAAAAAAUUCGUUACGAAUAAAAUGAAAAAAAAACAACUUAUAACGUAAUACGGUAUAAUAAAUUUAAAGAAAACAAAAAAAUGGAAAUAAACGAAUGGAAAUAGAGAAAAUAGAGAAAGAGAAAAACCUAUGACAAAUAAAAGAGAAAUACGAGCAAGAAAUUCAAGGCAGGGCGCGCGUUUCAUGGAAGUAGAAGAGGAAAGGGGGGGUGUGGUAGGAGGAGGUGAGUCAACUGAACCACUCUUUGAAAGGUUUUUCUGAACAAGCUUACGAACACGUUACAGGAAGAGAAAAGAGGUAGAAAUAAAGUAUCGGAGCAAUAAGGACAGAGGACGAGGGAACGAGAGAGAAAGAGGCGUGGGUGAUCGGUGGGGCCAAAGUUAUGCGUUACGGUCCAGCGACGGACUCGCGUUGCGGCUGCAGUUCAGGCGGAUUAUAAAGUCGCGAGCAACGAGCGGAGGCAUAUAUAACGUGGAAGUGGAAGUAAAAUAAUAAUCACAACGGACUCUUGAAUCGCCACCGCAGCAUAUCGUGUACAGUCGAGGGGGAAAAAUACCGUCGUCCGAUUCAACGACAACGCUACAGAGAAACGAACCGCCUCGAGACCGUAUUCGCGGGUUUGACGAAUGAAUAAAACGUAUUCCACGAAUCUUUUGGCGGAAUAUCAUUGGAAAAAAGGCCGCCUUUCAAACGUUCGCAAAUACCGGGUGCAAAAAUUUAAAAAAAAAUGAAAAAAAAAAAAAGAAGAAGAAGAAGAAGAAGAUUACCCGGAAGCCCGCAACGGAUUUACGAGACGGGGGAGAUUAUUCAUCGGAAAAUUACAUAGGAAUUCUACAGUAAUUUUGCUAAUGCAUCACGGGAUUCCCUUGUCAGCGAAUACCUCAUUCUGGUUUACAGAAACUUCCGGGCAUAAAAUUCCGCAUCUGGUCAACCGGUCGAACGACCCCAUUAUAUGUGUAGUGUCUAUGCGACUCUAGAGAACGACGUAUACGCUUCACGAUUUCCAGUUAACAGUUUACGAGGAGAAGAAGAAAGUAGAAAAAAAAAAAAAAAAAGUCAACUACCCGCAAGUGCAGAUCCACUUCGCUACGAGAUUUGUAGAAUUUUCACAGAAAUAAACUGCACUCGAUAUCGAUAACAAUAAAGACGAAGAGCUGUCGGAUCGUGAGAAGUCCUUCAAAAAAUUGGAGUGGAUAACUCAGAGUCGUGGUGAGAAAAAAAAAAGACAAAGUGAAAGCAUUUGUCUGCGAGGCAAACGCCACGUCCUUUUAGGGGAUAAUAAAUUUGUCAUCCGGAUGUUUUGAAUGUGAACGAAAUAGUGAGAAUACUAGUUACCAGAUAUCAGAUAGACUGUGAUGCAGGAGGUUAACGUUUCCAAGAGUUCCGAAAAUUCGGGACUUAGACUUUCUGCAGAUAAUGGCGUAGGUGCCGAGAACCCAAAAACAUCAUUCUCAUCGUCGUCGUCGUCUUCGCCCCCGUCUCAAAGCACGUCGAGAAAUUUUAUCGGUAAAUCUCAAGUCCAGCAAAGUCUUUCCUACGUUCGUCAAGAACGAAACGGAAGCGAUGCGAGUGCGGUUAGUGGAGAUUCUGCUGCACGAGGGCAGCCGCAGCAAUGCACGACAAGUGCGCAGAUGCAGGCGCAAUAUUAUUUGAACGAAAGGAAGAUAUUCGAAUUGUUCAACUUCCUCAUCGGUCACCUUCUGGUCGACGAACCGAGUGACCCGCUCGAAUAUCUGGCUGACCUUUUGGACAAGUGCAUGCUUUUCAGAGCCGGACUCAGGGAUCCCCCUUUACUUUUCACGGCUAGACACGUCGAGAGCAUGUUCAAAAGUUUGGAUCCCGGAUGCGCGGGUAGCAUUACCAUCGACCAAUACAAGGCCGGUAUGACUACAUUGGGAAUAGGAUGUUUCGAUGUUAAUCCAAAAACGUGCUCCCCGGGACGUGUCGACAAAAAGACUUUCGAGGAAGAAGCUGUUCGCAUAUGUUGCAACAGGACACCCUGUAGCUUUUUCCAUGGAACUACUACGCUUCUUCUUCUUCAUCUUCAUCUUCUUAUUCUUAUUCUUGCCGAAUGACGUCACGCGUCUUUAGGUCAAGUGGUUAAAUUGAGCUGACUAUACAACGAAUUAUAAAGCAAAUCUUAAACAAGUGUUUGCUGAGCAUGUUCACCGAAAUGAUAAGUAAGAAGCCUUGAAAUCGGCGAAACGAAAGCGUCGAACAUAGAGAAAGAAGAAGAAGAAUAUUGUACAAAAUUUUCGAGUGAUAAUUCAACUUUUGCCACGUCAUUAGAUUAAAGUGAAUUCUAAACGCAACAGGUCUGUUGUAAGUUCUGUAUCCUUUCUUGAAAUCCUUUCACACCGAACGAUCGUAGAGAGCAAAAACAAGAAAAAAAAAAGAAACAACAAUAAUAAAAUCGUAGUUGCAGCUGGUCGUUGGACAAGUUUGAAAGUGUGCUCGUAAAGUUUAAAAGUUAAAAUACAAGUUCGCCGGCGAACGUACGUACGUACACACGUCAGACGAUUGCAAAACGUCGAACAAAUCUGAUAAAACUUCUAGUCCAAUUUACCGAUUUUCGAUGAAAUUUUUUCAAUUCGACUAUUUCUCUUCGGUUCUAUUACGUUUCGUGGCUUGAUCGUAGUUCUUUUUCCUUUCUUUUCCUCUCGUAAAGAAAAAGAGAAAAAAAAAGCGUGCAGCGGCAUAAGAGCAGCGCGUUGAGCACGAGCUGUUGCCGUUUGCCUGAGGUAAAAAUCUACGCCCAUUAUCAUCUCUCUUUUAUACACGUACAAAGGUAUACAUACACCUAUGUGUACGCGCCCAAGUUCAAACCACACCGAUCCGUAGAGCUCGGUGCUCUCAAGUAAACGAAUGCAUUUAUAGAGACACGUAUACGAAUCGUUCUCCGAGCCGUAGAACGUCUAAGGAUCGGGCAAACGUACGUGCGUGAGUGCGUGCACUUACAACACAAGGACAGGUUGCCUUCGGGCAACUUGUUGCUCUCGUCCUCUAUCCCCGAAGUGGGGCCUCCCUCGCUCUCGAAGCUCCGUAACUGCUCCCUCCGAGCCUCUCCUUGAUGGUGUGGGAGGCUGAUCUACGACUAGCGAUGUGUAAGAACCACCGGAGAGCGUCCGCCGACGUGAACAAAUUUUUCCAGCUCCAUCGUCGUCGAAGGAGUCGGCAUUUUUCCCCCCUGAAAAUUUGACGACGUUACCGUCGAUUAUCCGACUUUUACCGAGAAUACAUUUAACAGAUAUCGAAAAUUUCGCGGAGACGACGUCGACGGAAUAUUUUUUCGUUUGACGAAAUAUCAGCCAACUUUGUCCUUAAAAAUUUGUACGAAAAAUUAAAUCGGUCCACUCGUUCCCAUCGCUGUGGCACGCGUGUGACAUACGUAUGCGUGUGUAACGUACGUUUUUCUCGUGUGUACAGCACGUUGAUCUGCCCCUUCCGUGGCAUCAGAAACUUACUUUUUUUUUUUUUUUUUUUUUUUCUCUUUUCUUUUCCAUCAUAUUUUUUCGUCCCCCCACUCGACCGGUCGCGGAGGGAUGAGCGUUCGAGGGGAAGGCGAGCGCGGACGGCGAACGGUGGAGAGAAACCAGUCGACUUAGUUGUUAGUCGGUUGCAGGGACAGUUCCCGCUCGACUUUCAAAGAGGAAGGAAUUUAGCGUCGAGUCAUGUCGACGGGAGAUAAAUUUCAAACAGAUGCUGCAUCGCGUCAAAAUUUCAAAGUUUCAUACUGCGAUCGUCCAUCGUUUUUUCGCGCCAACUGUUAACAAGGUUCGGAAAACGGAGUAAUAAUCGAUUUUUUGAAUAAAAGUUUUCGAAUAUUUGUGAGACAAAAUUAUCCGCCCACGCAGUCUGUGAUAAAUAAAAUUUUCACGAUUUUAAAAUACAAUUAUGUCAUUCAAAUGAUAAUCGGUGUCUCGUUUUCGCAGUCUUGAAGAAAAUCGUUUUAAGGCGCGUACAAGCGAACGGUGAUUUCAAAUCGCAAUUGCAACCCUUGUUCAAACUUCAACGAUUGCAAAACAAUAUUUGAAAGAAAUCAAUAAAAUAAACCACUGUGUGUUUCUGGAUACCAGCUGUGAUCGUAAUAACAGUGUUUGUUUGUAAUUCUUCUUCUACU